Molecule: ribosomal RNA, 415 nt
Filed under: uncultured Leptospirillum sp.
Lineage: Bacteria; Pseudomonadati; Nitrospirota; Nitrospiria; Nitrospirales; Nitrospiraceae
Description: bacterial SSU rRNA
Rfam family: Bacterial small subunit ribosomal RNA
Source: RNAcentral
AGAAGGCUUUCGGGUUUGUAAACCACUUUUGCCCGGGACGAAAGGGGGGACCUGAAUAAGGUUGCCCGAUGACGGUACCGGGAGAAUAAGCCACGGCUAACUCUGUGCCAGCAGCCGCGGUAAGACAGAGGUGGCAAGCGUUGUUCGGAGUUACUGGGCGUAAAGAGUCUGUAGGUGGUCUGUCAAGUCUUUGGUGAAAGGCCGUGGCUUAACCAUGGGAAUGCCAAAGAGACUGGCAGACUGGAGGCUGGGAGAGGGAAGCGGAAUUUCUGGUGUAGCGGUGAAAUGCGUAGAUAUCAGAAGGAAGGCCGGUGGCGAAGGCGGCUUCCUGGAACAGACCUGACACUGAGAGACGAAAGCGUGGGGAGCAAACAGGAUUAGAUACCCUGGUAGUCCACGCCCUAAACGAUGGGUA